This 470-nucleotide ribosomal RNA is filed under the name uncultured bacterium. RNAcentral's name for it is "SSU rRNA". It matches the Rfam family "Bacterial small subunit ribosomal RNA", at positions 26 to 521 of the family's 1533-position model. The record is from RNAcentral.
AGCCUGAACGCUGGCGGCGUGGCUAAGACAUGCAAGUCGAACGGGUGUAGCAAUACACCAGUGGCGGACGGGUGAGUAAUAAAUCGCUAAUGUACCCCGGAGCCAGGGAUAGCCUUCCGAAAGGGAGGGUAAUACCUGAUGAGACCACGAACAGGCAUCUGUUUGUGCUCAAAGCCGUAAGGCACUCUGGGAGCAGGCGAUUACGUAUCAGCUUGUUGGUGAGGUAACGGCUCACCAAGGCGACGACGCGUAGCUGGUCUGAGAGGACGGCCAGCCACAUUGGGACUGAGACACUGCCCAGACUCCUACGGGGGGCUGCAGUAACGAAUCUUCCGCAAUGCACGAAAGUGUGACGGAGCGACGCCGCGUGUAGGACGAAGUCCUUCGGGAUGUAAACUACUGUCGAGGGGUAAGAAAGUUCUGAUCUACCCAGAGGAAGAGACGGCUAACUCUGUGCCAGCAGCCGCGGU